AUUGAACGCUGGCGGCAGGCCUAACACAUGCAAGUCGAACGGUAACAGGAAGAAGCUUGCUUCUUUGCUGACGAGUGGCGGACGGGUGAGUAAUGUCUGGGAAACUGCCUGAUGGAGGGGGAUAACUACUGGAAACGGUAGCUAAUACCGCAUAAUGUCGCAAGACCAAAGAGGGGGACCUUCGGGCCUCUUGCCAUCGGAUGUGCCCAGAUGGGAUUAGCUAGUAGGUGGGGUAACGGCUCACCUAGGCGACGAUCCCUAGCUGGUCUGAGAGGAUGACCAGCCACACUGGAACUGAGACACGGUCCAGACUCCUACGGGAGGCAGCAGUGGGGAAUAUUGCACAAUGGGCGCAAGCCUGAUGCAGCUAUGCCGCGUGUAUGAAGAAGGCCUUCGGGUUGUAAAGUACUUUCAGCGGGGAGGACGGGAGUAAAGUUAAUACCUUUGCUCAUUGACGUUACCCGCAGAAGAAGCACCGGCUAACUCCGUG
This 490-nucleotide ribosomal RNA is filed under the name uncultured bacterium. RNAcentral's name for it is "partial 16S ribosomal RNA". It matches the Rfam family "Bacterial small subunit ribosomal RNA", at positions 30 to 507 of the family's 1533-position model. The record is from RNAcentral.